UCUGCUCCAACUGCCCUUUGAUCUGCAAGAAAUGCCAGGCUGGACGCCCUGGCAGGAAGAGCUAUUAUUGCAUCUGCGUCUUACUCCCUCACAGACCACAGACCGGGUGGUACCAGGCUUCUUCAAGCACCUAAGGAGUUAAACAAGGCCACCAAUCCUAGCCCAACUUCCAUCAGAGGACCAUGACACACUCCCCAGCCUUCUUCAUUUAUUCAUCUGGGCUAUGUGCUAAUCCUCUAAGGGCUGAGAGGCUGCUGUUCCAAAAGCCUGGUUUUGCUGAGCGCAUGGCGCGAAGACGGAACAGGGACCGGAACCUGCCCAACUAGGAAUGAGGCGCCGCGGCACCCAGGCGCACAACCGGCGGCUGUGGUGGCUUACCUGUCGCGGCGCGCGUCUGCAGGACGACGGAGAGCAGCGCGGAGAUGAUGGAGAGCAGCCACCGUGGGCGCCGGUUCUGCGCGGUCCUCCUGAAAGAAGCGGUGGCAGAGAAGGCAAACAAAAGAUGUAUGGAGAGAGAAGGCCGUGUUUAAAGGAAGGCGGGGAUGAGCACAUAUGAAGUACACAGAGAAAGUUUAAUUACACGGGUAAGAUGGGAUUGUGCAGCAAGCCUGGCCUGCCCCAGUCCCAUGUUGUCCGCAGGAUGAAGGCAUACCUGCGUUUCAACUGAUAGGCUUGCCUAUGGUUCAGCGUAUCGAUCCAAAGCACAAAGUGGAUAACGCAUCGGGUUCCUUUCCUACUCUCUCAGCCAAGUCCUCCGUACACAUUUGUUGACUCUAGGGUACACAAGGACAGCCCUGUGUAUCUGAUUAAUGAGCAGAAGAAGCAGACUUCACUGGCCGGCUAGAAGUGAACUUAUUAAAAUUGUCAGAGAAGAGGGCUACCUCUUGGCUAACCGAGAGAAAACCAUGACUGUUCCACACAGCUGCUGCCCAAGGGGCUUGUAUCCCGAUGACCUUGACUGUGUCUGUGCAAAGAAGGCUGAGAAAACUUGCUGUUCAGCAUGCCACACAAGAAUGGAUGUGAAAAUCUGAGAAGCCAAGAGUGGGGGGGGGGGAGAAAACAGGUAGGAGGGUGUGCCAAAGGGCUCCUAAGCCCGCACCUUGUGCCCUGUACCCUGUUCACGUGUCCCUCCCGCCUCCCUUUUGUCAUGUAUGUGCAUAGCAUCCAUCACUCCUCUGCCAGCACCUGAAUGUUCUCUAUGGCCCUGGACCCUGUUCUGUCUUCAAGCACAACAGAAUUAAACUCUCCCUUCCCAUUUCUUUUUGCCAAUAGAAUCUGGCUAAUACGUUUUCUUUCUUCCACGAAAGUAACUUCUUCACUUUGCUCUCACUCGCAGUCUCUGCCUCUCUCCCUCCUUCCUGGGAAUAACCCCUCAGGGGGG
Molecule: long non-coding RNA, 1381 nt
Organism: Alexandromys fortis (reed vole)
Lineage: Eukaryota; Metazoa; Chordata; Mammalia; Rodentia; Cricetidae
Exons: 4
Source: RefSeq, a predicted model, not a curated record